AAAUAAGAAGCAAUUUGCAUUUAAUUUCGACUUAAAAGAGAGAGUAAAUAUUACUCCUUAUUUA
RNAcentral lists this transfer RNA (64 nucleotides) under Apocheima cinerarius. RNAcentral describes it as "tRNA-Arg". Lineage: Eukaryota; Metazoa; Arthropoda; Insecta; Lepidoptera; Geometridae. The record is from RNAcentral.